GUCCUCGCUUUCCCUGCAAGUACGUGCUAACCCAUUGGAACGGCCGUAAUUCGGUUGAUGGAUCAAAGCGCGAGGACCCGGGGGCAGUACCCGGCGCCUCCACCAAAACUCCCGUUGGCACGGGUUUUGAUGGGGGCGAAACAGAAUCGACUGCGCCAAGAGAGAUCAGACGCGACCCGUUUGGUGGGCCCGUUAUGCCUGCAAGAACGCUAAAUGCGAACGACAACUCGCCAGUAAUGGCACAGGACCGUCUCGCCGCUUAAUUGCGGUGACGGUACGCGGCACGGGGAGCGCCGGGCAACAGAAGCUCCCCACU
This 316-nucleotide transfer-messenger RNA is filed under the name Sphingosinicella rhizophila. It matches the Rfam family "Alphaproteobacteria transfer-messenger RNA". Rfam says of the family: Bacterial tmRNA, also known as 10Sa RNA or SsrA, is named for its dual tRNA and mRNA-like properties. Its role is to liberate the mRNA from a stalled ribosome. Lineage: Bacteria; Pseudomonadati; Pseudomonadota; Alphaproteobacteria; Sphingomonadales; Sphingosinicellaceae. The record is from RNAcentral.